Molecule: long non-coding RNA, 199 nt
Filed under: Elaeis guineensis (African oil palm)
Lineage: Eukaryota; Viridiplantae; Streptophyta; Magnoliopsida; Arecales; Arecaceae
Description: long non-coding RNA (EGUI_LNC018737)
Source: RNAcentral
UAUUUUCACAAAAAGCAAUUUUGUGAUUAAUCACAUUUACAUGCACAAUCUAGUUUUGCAAUAAAAUAUAAGCAAGAGAUUUUGCUGUUGGAAGCCCUCCGACCACCACCACCCUUGCUUCAAAAGCUUAGUCUGUAAGGAAGGAAAGCUGGAUCUGGAGGUGUUGCCUAGCUUAUUAAUCUCUUUUUUGAUGCAAAUG